This 76-nucleotide non-coding RNA is filed under the name Charadrius vociferus (killdeer). RNAcentral describes it as "Eukaryotic large subunit ribosomal RNA". It matches the Rfam family "Eukaryotic large subunit ribosomal RNA", at positions 839 to 912 of the family's 3401-position model. The record is from Rfam by way of RNAcentral. Lineage: Eukaryota; Metazoa; Chordata; Aves; Charadriiformes; Charadriidae.
GGGCAGGACGAAGCCAGAGGAAACUCUGGUGGAGGUCCAUAGCAGUCCUGACAUGAAAAUUGGUCCUGUUUUACCU